Long non-coding RNA from Sceloporus undulatus (fence lizard), 652 nucleotides. RefSeq lists it as uncharacterized. The transcript is spliced from 3 exons. NCBI's taxonomy places the organism in Eukaryota, Metazoa, Chordata, Lepidosauria, Squamata, Phrynosomatidae. The record is from RefSeq and is a predicted model, not a curated record.
GGAGGAGCUGCUGACCCUCUUGGUAAUUACUCAGUCUAACAGCUUAACUAACAUGCAAAUUCCUCUGUUGAAUGACAGGACAGGAAAGCUCUACUUCGCAUUCUCAGACCUCACAAAGCAAUACUGUGGUGAGAUAAUGCAGGCUACUGGCAACUGGAAAACCUCUUCUACGCCUUAGAAAAGUUAAUUUUUGACCUGUAACUGGAAAUUAAGAUAAUCUCUUCAGGAUCUGAAUCAUUUAAAGAUAAGUUUACAGAAAAGAUUCAAAUACAGCAAGGCUGUGAUUCUAUACACAGAAGCCUAAAGAAAGGAAAAUCCUACUGAACUCAAGCCUGGUUGAAAUGCAGAGGAUUAUGUUGUAAACUAUGACAAUGAACAGAUAGUACAAAAGUCUGUCUCUCUUUCAUGACAGGGCUGGAAUGAAAUAUAAUUUAAUGUUAUACAUGUGAAGACAGAACCUUUAUUUCCCAACAUAUUUAGUUGAGUCAACAUUUGUAUAGGUGCUAUAUGAUACAAUAUACUACAGAGGGAUUAUAAUCAUAUUGGCCAGAUGCCUGCUGUAAAGUUUUUGAAUAUUCAGUUAUAUAGGGCACUGUCCUUGCAAUCAGGAACUCUGAAAAAGCAGGAUUUUGAUGUGGUGAUUUUAAUUGUU